Molecule: ribosomal RNA, 477 nt
Filed under: uncultured bacterium
Lineage: Bacteria
Description: partial 16S ribosomal RNA
Rfam family: Bacterial small subunit ribosomal RNA
Source: RNAcentral
GAUUAACGCUGGCGGCGUGCAUAACACAUGCAAGUCGAACGAUGAAACUUAAAUGAUUUCUUCGGAAUGAACUUAAGUGGAUUAGUGGCGGACGGGUGAGUAACGCGUGAGUAACCUGCCUUACACAAGGGGAUAGCCGUUGGAAACGACGAAUAAUACCCUAUGAUGUUUCUAUCUCGCAUGAGAUAUUAACCAAAGUGUUAGCGGUGUAAGAUGGACUUGCGUCUGAUUAGCUAGUUGGUGAGAAAAAAGCCCACCAAGGCAACGAUCAGUAGCCGGCUUGAGAGAGUGUACGGACACAUUGGGACUGAGACACGGCCCAGACUCCUACGGGAGGCAGCAGUGGGGAAUUUUGCACAAUGGGGGAAACCCUGAUGCAGCGACGCCGCGUGAUUUAGAAGGCCUUCGGGUUGUAAAAAUCUUUUGUAUAGGAAGAAAAUGACAGUACUAUACGAAUAAGGUCCGGCUAAUUACGUG